UACGAAGGGGGCAAGCGUUGUCCGGAUUUAUUGGGCGUAAAGAGCGUGUAGGCGGCCUGAAAGGUCAGCUGUGAAAACUCGAGGCUCAACCUCGAGACGUCGGUUGAAACCAUCUGGCUAGAGUCCGGAAGAGGAGUGUGGAAUUCCCGGUGUAGCGGUGAAAUGCGCAGAUAUCGGGAAGAACACCCGUGGCGAAGGCGGCACUCUGGGACGGUACUGACGCUGAGACGCGAAAGCGUGGGGAGCGAACAGG
RNAcentral lists this ribosomal RNA (253 nucleotides) under uncultured bacterium. RNAcentral describes it as "partial 16S ribosomal RNA". It matches the Rfam family "Bacterial small subunit ribosomal RNA", at positions 524 to 776 of the family's 1533-position model. The record is from RNAcentral.